Molecule: long non-coding RNA, 279 nt
Organism: Populus trichocarpa (black cottonwood)
Lineage: Eukaryota; Viridiplantae; Streptophyta; Magnoliopsida; Malpighiales; Salicaceae
Exons: 2
Source: RefSeq, a predicted model, not a curated record
CUGCAUCGGAACCUAUAAAUUUCUUAGUUAGAGCAAAAGGCGAACGUAUGUAAUCAGACACGGCAUCAGAAACCAGAAAUUUCUUUUUUUGAGAAUAAAGGUUAUUGAUAUUUGUGGAAAGAAAAGUUAGUAGUUCCAUUGCUUAGGGGGUAGACUGCGAUUUGUAUAGAAAUGAAUGGGGAGGAGAGUUUCUGGGUUAGGAAGAGAAUCAAGAGGAUGCGAGAAAGUAGAAACGAAGAGUGUAAUGAGAUAUGAGAAGGGAACACACAAUUAAGAGUA